AAUGCUCGGGGGCACUGGGCACGCGCAGCUGCACCCCGGGGCGCCUGAUGCUGGGGUUUCUCGUGUCCGGCUGUGGGCAAGGAGCAUGCGCGGCAGGGCUGAGUGCGCAGGCGAGCGCCGGGCUGGCCGGAGGCGCGGGCGUGGGGUGCGGGUGGUUGGGGGCAUGAGCCACAGUGAGCUCCCAUCCGCCUCUCCAGGAUUUACAUUCGGGUCCGGAGGGUACAGAAGACAGAGGCCUGAGUGCGAAUGCGAAUAAACCGCUUCAUUCUGGCCGCAAAGAGCUGACAGGCCCGUGUGGUGCGUUGACGCUCAGUUGUGCAUCUUUGAAGCUGGAGGCGAGGUCCUCCUGGGGCCCGUCCCCCGAGUGCCCUUCACCCUUAGACACCCACACUAAGGGACACCGUUCUGGAAACAGACCCCUCGGAGCACCGCCUGGCCGGAGAGAAGCAGGGGCCGCAGCUCUGGAGGACCUCGACCAGGACCUGGUCAGUGAGUGACCCUGUGCCAGGCGCAGCCGCUGCUCCCGCGGGAGCCUCAGCGUGGCCCGCAACAAUGGUCCACGGUGCCACCCGCAGUAGAUCAUCCGCUCUCCGCCAUGGACACCCCGCGCUGUAGUGGACCAUUUCUCUAAACAUAAUUUUAAACGACAUGAAGUGUUUUCCCCGAUUCUGGGCCUUGCCCAGGACAGCAAGAGCUUUCUGCCUCCGACCUGGUGGAUCACAGAGACCCUCCUUGACCGUUCCUGUGAUGCCCACCGCCAACAGGCAGAGCUCUGCCCUCUCCUGAGAAUGUGCUCCACACAGUACAUUUUUUUUUGUCUUGGUUUUGGGUUUUUGAACCACACCCAGCGAUGCCCAGGGGUUACUCCUGGCUCUGCACUCAGGAGCAGUCAUCCUGGUCGUGCUGGGGGACCAUACAGGAUGCCAGGGAUCGAACCCAGUUGGCUGCAUGCAAGGCAAACGCCCUGCCCACUGUACUAGUGACCCGGCCCACAGGCGGUGCUUUCUAGAGGCUAGACAGACAGGGCAGCCCCCGGACGUUGACUUGACACCACACACACACUUAGGCUGUAGAUUCCUGUCUGAGGUGUGAGACUAGUGCUCUCUGCACCUGUGCACGAGGCUUUUAUGAACCGUUCAUUCCAAAGACACCUUGUGAAACGCUAUUAAAUGCCCAGAGAUGCCCCGUGUUUAGCUGGGGCUGCAGCAGAGCCAAGCCAACCAACUGAUAAAUAUGUGAGAUUCCUAGUGUUGAGGACUGGCAAGGAAAUAACCGGCUCACGAGAGUGAUGGGAACAAGCCUUUGACCACCACCACCAUUCUGCCAGUGACAGGUGUUCUUCCCCUUGCAGGUGAGGAAACCAGGGCCCUCGGGAAGGCGAGCAUCCCUCUCUGAGACAGUCUGUCCUGCGAUCAGGAUGCAGGCGUGGUAUUGCCAGCCCCAAGGUUGGAAGGUGAGAGUUGGACUUGAAAAGGAUAGCCAAGUUCCCCCUACACACACACCUCCCAAAUGUUUGCCCCCUCUCUCCUCCAAACGGCCUGAAAUGGAACAGAGUAGCGGGCAGUGACCCCAAAUCACUCCUUCCAGUUGUAGUGGUGCAGAACCCUUCUUCCUCAACCAUUUUCCUCCCCCAACCCCAAACUCACAGUCACUGUAAACUAAGGGGCGUGCAGAAGCCGGGGUACCUAGAUCUCCCCCUAAACUACCCCACAUGUGUCGAGCACCCCGGGGUCCCCGCCUGGGUGGUUCUUUGGGUCAAAUGUGUUGUCUUGGACUAACUUCUGCAGGUUCUUUCCACUGGGGGAGGGCGGGGGGAUAAGAGGAGCCGAAUGUCCGGACACGGCUACUGUGUCCAAGCCGAGCUUGCGCUGGUCUCCGCGGACACCGCCUGGCCGCCUCACUGUCCCUCCAGGCUCGGUCUUCCACUCGGGGGCUCCAGCCCAAAGCCUGACGCCGACUCAAGAUGCUCCGAGCCGCCCUCUAAGCCAGCAGCGGCGCGCGGAAGCGGAGCGCUCUAUCCUCCCUGCACGGGGCGGGUCGCCCGGGGGAGAGUGACCCCCAGGCCUGUGUCCCCGGCUCCCUGGACUCCACUUUGCCCCCGCCUGCGGCAGCUCACCCGAGCCUGGCCCGAGCAUGACCCCGCUCCCUCCUUGGAGUACCGGAGCGGGAGGCGGGAGGAUACCAACCAGCGGGCGAGGAGAGAUGCCGCGAGGACCAAUGUCACACCGAGAAAUUCACUUUACGGCAGCCGGCGGGCCCCCGCCGCGGGGCAUCUUGGGAAAUGUAGUCCGGCCUCGGCCCGACCCUCUCCAAGCUGCUAUUGGCUCCCGGAAUUCGAGGUCCUGAUUGGAAGCUUUGGUUACUAGGUAACGUGCCCCCACGAUGCUCUCCCACAUCCCGCGGUCAAGGAAAAGCGCUCGGAUUGGGCUAUGACUUACUCUGUUCUUAGUUCCCUCACAUAUCUCAGAACGGUGCCAACCUUGAAGGUUCUCGACUUUAUUUGAGCAAGGAGGGCGCUACAUUAUAUUCUCUCGGAAAGCAUCAUUGGUAGCCUACAUGUGCCUGGCAUUGCGCAAGGCUAAAGAAUGCACAAGUCGAAUUAAACAAAAAUCUUACCUUCGUUUUUUUUUUAAUACAUGUACCACGUAGCCAACACCUAUCUCAGAUAUGGAAAAUUCUCAGCAGUACAUCACCAAGCUGUCCUGUGACCCUCUCAGAAUGGACAGAGGGAAAACUACAUAAAAUAAAGAUGUUCUCAUUAUAAAAGAAGAAGCUGCAGGGCCAUUGGGAAGGAAGGCCUGGAGCGCUCUGGAAUGAGAAUAAUGUUCUGAGCUGAGCUGUAGUGGCCCAGGGUGGUUUUUCUGUCACUGUCAUCCCAUUGCUCAUCGAUUUGUUUGAGCGGGCACCAGUAAUGUCUCUCAUUGUGAGACUUAUUUGUUACUGUUUUUGGCAUAUCCAAUACACCACGGGUAGCUUGCCAGGCACUGCCGUGUGGGCUCGAUACUCACGGUAGCUUGCCGGGCUCUCCGAGAGGGGCAGAGGAAUCGAACACGGGUUGGCCGCGUGAAAGGCGGAUGCCCUACCGCUGUGCUAUCGCUCCAGCCAUGGUUUUUCUGUAUAGUUAUUAAUUAGAUUAUGAACUUAUCCAUAAUGAUAUAUAACUGUACAAUCAUGUCACUCAUGUGUAUUUUGUGUGUGCUUUAAGUCUCAAUUCUUAAUCUAUAACAGAAAAAAAAAUGGAGCUGGGAAGAUCGCUCAGUGAUCAGACACAUACUUUCCAUGCACCAGACCUGGGUUUCCAUACCCAGCACCAUCUAUACCCCCCCAUCCCCAGCACCACUAGCCCUAGUGGUCCCAAGCAUGGCAGGGCUUGAGGAUGCUCUGAACCACUUGGCUCUAUUGGUUAAUGUCAUGGGAGUGGGAGUGGCCUGUUGGGUCCCUUAAGUUUUGCUUAGGAGCCCCUCCACCAAAACCCCUAAAAUAAUAAAACACUUUUUGUUAAUAUG
Molecule: long non-coding RNA, 3506 nt
Organism: Sorex araneus (European shrew)
Lineage: Eukaryota; Metazoa; Chordata; Mammalia; Eulipotyphla; Soricidae
Exons: 2
Source: RefSeq, a predicted model, not a curated record